RNA transcript from Lycium ferocissimum, 3172 nucleotides. RefSeq lists it as uncharacterized. The record is from RefSeq and is a predicted model, not a curated record. Lineage: Eukaryota; Viridiplantae; Streptophyta; Magnoliopsida; Solanales; Solanaceae. The transcript is spliced from 7 exons.
UAAAAGAAUGGGAAAAUAUCGAACGGGAAAAAAUCAUAAAAAAAGAACUCCAAUUCCGUUACUUUCUCUUCUUUGUUCCUACUUCUUCUUCACGAUUUCAACUUCAAGCUCAAGUCAAAAUGUCUGCAUCUAGAAGUUGUUUGAAGAUUGCCGGUAGAGGGAUUAAAUACAAUGCUGGCACAUCAAGCAAUUUGCCUUCGACCCCUGAUGUUGCAAAUGAUGAUGAUUUCGAGUCCCCUGUUGUUCUUACAAAGAGUUGUCAACAAGAAAUCAUGCGAAUCACGCGCUAGCAGACGAAGAAGGUUGUUAAGAAUAUCAAGCCGAGGACUAAGAAAUGUGGUCGACCUGAGAAAGCUAAAGUGAGGUUGAAACUUGUUGAUGAAGAUGAUGCUGCUAAAAAAAUUAAAAAAAAAAAAGAGAGAGAAAGGUCGUCAAUGUUGCUGAAUAUAGUUCUUAUGCAUUAUCGAAAGAAUAAAGGGAAUCUAUUCGAUGUAAAUUUAAUGAAAGAAAAUCUCAGUUGAAGGUUGGUGACUUCUAUAUACAACCGAAUGAACAUUUUUGGACUAGGAUUAGUUGUCAUACCAAGACUGAUAUUGUCGGCUUUUUAAGGGAAUACUUGAGUGAUACGCAGCUUCAAAUCUUCCGUGAUAGUUGUUUUGGAUAUUUCUUAGACCUGCCUCCUUUUAAGAUUCAGAACCAGCUUAUACAUUGCAUGUUACUGAGGGAGGUUGUCCCCGGUGUGUUAAGAGAGUUGUGGAUUAAACUCAAUGGUUGUAUAUUGAGUUUUCGUAUUAGAGAGUUUGUUGUUAUUACUGGUUUGAAGUGUGUUGAAGAUGAUGCAACUAUGUAUGACAAACCAAGCACCAGUAGGUUGAUGGAAACAUAUUUUCUAGAAAACACAUCAAUAACGAGGGAGCAGUUGCUUACUCACUUUAAGGUAAAGGAAUGGAAGUCGGAUGAUGAUGCGUUCAAGAUGGGUUUGAUGGUAUUCAUCCACCAUUUCUUAUUCUCGGAUACCAAUGAUCACACUAUCACCAAAGCAGAUUUUGAUAUUGUUGAAAGUGGUGAAUAUCAGACUUAUGCUUGGGGGAAAAAAUGCUUUGAAGAGAUUCUCAAAACAACAAGGGAUAAACAGUGUGAGUUUUUGACAAUGUACAGGCUUGGAGGGUUCCCGCUUGCACUACAGACAUGGUUUUUCGAAUGUUGCUCUAUCAUCGAUAAAAAACUCGUUGUUCGUGUUGGCAAUAAUGUGCCACAUAUUCUUAACUGGAAAGUGACUGAUUCUCCGACGUAUACGUUCUUGACUGAUGAUGUGCUCAUGCCUAGUAUCGACAAAAUGAAGUACUGCAACAUUUCUCCUACCACUGAGGAAAAAAUAAACUUGAAAAUUGCUGCAUUUUUUGAAGAUAUCAAUGCCGACCAUGUUUCUUCACGGGGUUUGCCCAUUUUUCAAAAUGAAGAUUCUAACAUUUCACCCCCACCACAUCCUCAAAAUAUGGAGCAAUAGCCUAAACAACCUCAUCCUCAGAAUACGGAGCAACAACCCGUAUUGAGACGCGAUCCUUCCGGGAGCAGUGAUGGGUUGACGGCUAAAGUUGCUCAGUUGAGGAGUGACGUUUCAGAGCUUACUGGUAAAGUCGAGGCACUCAACACUUACAUCGUAUCUUCCUUUGGAAUCAUAUUCAAGCAUCUGAAAAUUAAGCAACCGAGUGAUCAAGGCAAUGCUGAUGAGGAUGGUACAUCUGGGCUAGGCAAUGAUGGGUUUGACAAUAAUGAUUAUGUUCCACCUUCGUCCCCCCUCUCCCCUCCCGAACAAGUGCAUGAUCUAAAUAUGCAAGGUGACCAAACAACGUCAACCGUUAAGGGAAAUGAAGAGGGUACUGAUGUUCCCUCUCUCGAGCAAGUGUAUGACCUAAACUUGCGAUCUGACCAAAAUGCAUCAUGUGUUAAGGGAAAUCAACAAAUUACUGAUGGUCUUCCUGAUAUGUUUUCGUCUUGUACUUGGUCUUUUUUUUUUUUUUUGCCUUCGGAUUGAAACCUUUUGAUUAAUCUUUUUCUCUGUCUAAGUAGUAGCAAGUGAUGGUGUUGAGCCCCUCGAGCAAGUGCAUGAAGUAAACAUGCAACCUGACCAAACAAAAUCAAGUGUCAAGGAAAAUGAUAAAGUUACUGAUGGUCGUCUUGUGGAAGCAGUUGAUGGUGUCAAGGACGAUCUCUGGUGUGGUAUUACUGAUGAAGAGUUUGCCAAUAUAAAGAUGUCCCAGGUUGUGCUUCCUAGACCUUGGGAUAUUAGUGAUGAAAAGGCUGCUAAGAUAAAGAUGUCCUAGAUUGGGCUUCCUAGACCACUCGUCAUGGAUGUUGAAGAAAAAGACAUGACUCCUGAAAAAUUGGCACGAAAAAGAUUUCCAGGAAAAUUAGCCCAAGAUCCAUAUGUGGAAGAUUUUGAUUCGGGUACAUCUAAGUGUAUUUUUGAUAUCAAGCAUCCUUUCAUAAGAGACAUUGAUGAAUUUUAUCCCUUGUCGGAUUAGGCCCAAGAGUUUGUGGGAUUCGUUGAGGAUGGGAUGAAUAUGACAUGACGGUAACUUUUACUCAUUUUAAGCUUUUUAUGUUCUGGUUUUUACACUUUUGCAAAUUUCUUGGGGGUGUUCUUUUAUUCAUGAUUUUUAAGUCCCAAAACUCUGUAUCGUGACGGAAAAAUGAUCUCCCUGAAGAUUUUAUUUUCGGCUCGUGUCAUAUAAACACGAAGGACUGGUUCGAGGCGCUUACACAUAGUGGUCGACCUUUGAAAGACACGUGAUUGUGGAGUUUUUGUUGUUGUCUUUGCUGAUUAUUUCGUGCAUGGUAAAGAAAUCACAAAAGACAAUAUUGACAUUGAGAUACAUCGCACUAGGUAUGGAUCCUUGUUGUGGGAUUAUGGAAGAAAAAACAAAAGGCCGAUGCAACUAGCGGGACUAAAGAAGUUACUGGCAGAUGGUUCGGGAGGAGGAAGAGGAAAAAUGAGGAAAAGUAGGGGGCUGCAUAUCAAUGCUUUUUUAAUUUUACUUAGAUGUUUUGAAGCGGUAAUGUAAAGUACAAACAAUGUGGCUUUUAGAAGGGAGUUUGACUAAGCUGUUUUGAUGCAAUACUGUAAAGUACAAUGAUGUUGCUAAUAAAUGAAAUGCACUUUUAUUGUGUA